This 253-nucleotide ribosomal RNA is filed under the name uncultured bacterium. Its description in RNAcentral is "partial 16S ribosomal RNA". It matches the Rfam family "Bacterial small subunit ribosomal RNA", at positions 524 to 776 of the family's 1533-position model. The record is from RNAcentral.
UACGUAGGUGGCAAGCGUUGUCCGGAUUUAUUGGGUUUAAAGGGUGCGUAGGCGGUCUUUUAAGUCAGUGCUGAAAUAUCCCGGCUUAACCGGGAGGGUGGCAUUGAUACUGAAGGACUUGAGUAAAGUUGAGGUUGGCGGAAUUGACGGUGUAGCGGUGAAAUGCUUAGAUAUCGUCAAGAACACCGAUAGUGCAGACAGCUAACUAAGCUUUAACUGACGCUGAGGCACGAAAGUGUGGGGAUCAAACAGG